UACAGAGGGUGCGAGCGUUAAUCGGAAUGACUGGGCGUAAAGGGUGCGCAGGCGGAUUUAUAAGUUUCAUGUGAAAGUCCCGGGCUUAACCUGGGGAUUGCAUGAGAUACUGUGAGUCUAGAAUAUGGCAGGGGGUAGUGGAAUUUCCGGAGUAGCGGUGAAAUGCGUAGAUAUCGGAAGGAACACCAGUGGCGAAGGCGACUACCUGGGCCAAUAUUGACGCUGUGGCACGAGAGCGUGGGUAGCGAACAGG
RNAcentral lists this ribosomal RNA (253 nucleotides) under uncultured prokaryote. RNAcentral's name for it is "partial 16S ribosomal RNA". It matches the Rfam family "Bacterial small subunit ribosomal RNA", at positions 524 to 776 of the family's 1533-position model. The record is from RNAcentral.